RNAcentral lists this ribosomal RNA (435 nucleotides) under uncultured bacterium. Its description in RNAcentral is "partial 16S ribosomal RNA". It matches the Rfam family "Bacterial small subunit ribosomal RNA", at positions 28 to 507 of the family's 1533-position model. The record is from RNAcentral.
GAUGAACGCUGGCGGUAUGCUUAACACAUGCAAGUCGAACGGACUCUUCGGAGUUAGUGGCAGACGGGUGAGUAACGCGUGAGAAUCUGGCUUUGGGUUCGGGACAACCACUGGAAACGGUGGCUAAUACCGGAUGUGCCGAGAGGUAAAAGAGAAAUUGCCUGAAGAUGAGCUCGCGUCUGAUUAGCUAGUUGGUGAGGUAAAGGCUCACCAAGGCAGCGAUCAGUAGCUGGUCUGAGAGGAUGACCAGCCACACUGGGACUGAGACACGGCCCAGACUCCUACGGGAGGCAGCAGUGGGGAAUUUUCCGCAAUGGGCGAAAGCCUGACGGAGCAAUACCGCGUGAGGGAAGAAGGCUCUUGGGUUGUAAACCUCUUUUCUUAGGGAGGAACAAAAUGACGGUACCUAAGGAAUCAGCAUCGGCUAACUCCGUG